AACUGAAACAUCUAAGUACCCCGAGGAAAAGAAAUCAACCGAGAUUCCCCCAGUAGCGGCGAGCGAACGGGGAGGAGCCCAGAGCCUGAAUCAGUGUGUGUGUUAGUGGAAGCGUCUGGAAAGGCGCGCGAUACAGGGUGACAGCCCCGUACACAAAAAUACACAUAUUGUGAGCUCGAUGAGUAGGGCGGGACACGUGGUAUCCUGUCUGAAUAUGGGGGGACCAUCCUCCAAGGCUAAAUACUCCUGACUGACCGAUAGUGAACCAGUACCGUGAGGGAAAGGCGAAAAGAACCCCGGCGAGGGGAGUGAAAAAGAACCUGAAACCGUGUACGUACAAGCAGUGGGAGCACGCUUAGGCGUGUGACUGCGUACCUUUUGUAUAAUGGGUCAGCGACUUAUAUUCUGUAGCAAGGUUAACCGAAUAGGGGAGCCGAAGGGAAACCGAGUCUUAACUGGGCGUUAAGUUGCAGGGUAUAGACCCGAAACCCGGUGAUCUAGCCAUGGGCAGGUUGAAGGUUGGGUAACACUAACUGGAGGACCGAACCGACUAAUGUUGAAAAAUUAGCGGAUGACUUGUGGCUGGGGGUGAAAGGCCAAUCAAACCGGGAGAUAGCUGGUUCUCCCCGAAAGCUAUUUAGGUAGCGCCUCGUGAAUUCAUCUCCGGGGGUAGAGCACUGUUUCGGCAAGGGGGUCAUCCCGACUUACCAACCCGAUGCAAACUGCGAAUACCGGAGAAUGUUAUCACGGGAGACACACGGCGGGUGCUAACGUCCGUCGUGAAGAGGGAAACAACCCAGACCGCCAGCUAAGGUCCCAAAGUCAUGGUUAAGUGGGAAACGAUGUGGGAAGGCCCAGACAGCCAGGAUGUUGGCUUAGAAGCAGCCAUCAUUUAAAGAAAGCGUAAUAGCUCACUGGUCGAGUCGGCCUGCGCGGAAGAUGUAACGGGGCUAAACCAUGCACCGAAGCUGCGGCAGCGACGCUUAUGCGUUGUUGGGUAGGGGAGCGUUCUGUAAGCCUGCGAAGGUGUGCUGUGAGGCAUGCUGGAGGUAUCAGAAGUGCGAAUGCUGACAUAAGUAACGAUAAAGCGGGUGAAAAGCCCGCUCGCCGGAAGACCAAGGGUUCCUGUCCAACGUUAAUCGGGGCAGGGUGAGUCGACCCCUAAGGCGAGGCCGAAAGGCGUAGUCGAUGGGAAACAGGUUAAUAUUCCUGUACUUGGUGUUACUGCGAAGGGGGGACGGAGAAGGCUAUGUUGGCCGGGCGACGGUUGUCCCGGUUUAAGCGUGUAGGCUGGUUUUCCAGG
Molecule: ribosomal RNA, 1303 nt
Filed under: Shigella sonnei
Lineage: Bacteria; Pseudomonadati; Pseudomonadota; Gammaproteobacteria; Enterobacterales; Enterobacteriaceae
Description: partial 23S ribosomal RNA
Rfam family: Bacterial large subunit ribosomal RNA
Source: RNAcentral